ACAGCAGCCGCCGCGGUAAUACAGAGGGUGCGAGCGUUAAUCGGAUUUACUGGGCGUAAAGCGUGCGUAGGCGGCUUCUUAAGUCGGAUGUGAAAUCCCUGAGCUUAACUUAGGAAUUGCAUUCGAUACUGGGAAGCUAGAGUAUGGGAGAGGAUGGUAGAAUUCCAGGUGUAGCGGUGAAAUGCGUAGAGAUCUGGAGGAAUACCGAUGGCGAAGGCAGCCAUCUGGCCUAAUACUGACGCUGAGGUACGAAAGCAUGGGGAGCAAACAGGAUUAGAGACCCCUGUAGUCCCUGUCUCUUAUAC
Molecule: ribosomal RNA, 305 nt
Filed under: uncultured bacterium
Lineage: Bacteria
Description: partial 16S ribosomal RNA
Rfam family: Bacterial small subunit ribosomal RNA
Source: RNAcentral